AGGGGUUUGCCCCAUUUACCUGUGAGUGGUCAUUUAAAGCAAGGCCACAUAACAAGUGACAAAUGUUCAAAUCUAAGACCUAAAUCCAGAUUCUCUUUGUUCUGCCAUGCUGUUUAUCCAACCACCGGUAAUCCCCACCCAGAUCUGUGAAGAACCUGAGAAAGGGGUGUGUAGUCUGAUUUUUAGGUAGGGAAGGUGACAGAUUCCAGCGUGUGCCUUAGGCAGUGUGACCAGCAAGCAGCAAAUCUAAGACUGGAAUUUAAGUCUCCUGAUUUCUGGGUCUGUCCACCACCACCCCUCUCAGCAUGCAAGAGCAUUUAUCAUAAAUGCUGCACCCAGUAGUAAGCAGUUUGGUGCAUACAUUUAUUGUCUCAUUUCUGCAAGACUGAAUGUUAACAUGAGGCUUUGUUGUUUAUAGGGCACUAUACAGAAGGCAUGUGCAAGAAAGCUUAUUUCAUAUACAGAAGGCAUAUGCAAGAAAGCUUAUUCAUCUCUUUUUCUUCCUUCAACCAUAGUCUCAUCAAAGCACAUGCAACUUCCUUUCCCAGUGCCACUCUAAGUCAUAUGGACACAAACACAAGAAAUCAAUAGGACUCAAAACAUGAUCAGGAAGCUCAAAAGGAGGAGAGCAAGUGUGAAGUUUUUGGAUAAAUCUCUGACCUUGAAGAUAGCAUAAGAGGCCAAUGGUGUACUUUCCUGGAAGAUAACACCUAGAAUUUAUAAGCAUUAAGACAGAGAUUUUGAAAUCUCUGGAGGGGAUCCUUUGUGCAACCAAGGUAAUGAGCCACUGCAGUCAAGUGAAGCCUGCAGACCAAGAUCUGAGAUUUCACAGACCUGCACCCAGGUUCAGGACCCCCAGUCCUGCACAAAUCAUGUGAACCUAGUGGAUUGAAUACUAGACAGAUCAAAUCCUUCCCCAACUAAUAACUCUUCCUCCCAGUUCAAUUCCAACCCUAAAAUAAAUCACCUCCCACUUUUUUUCUGUACAGUUUGAUGGGGGAGGAGUGGCUAUCCUCGUUGGCUGAGCUGGCUUCCGUUUGGGGUUUUCUCCCUUUUCCUUUGGCUGGUCUUGCUAGAAGUGGACGAGAGCUUUGAAGCCUCAUUUUCUUUGUGUUAAGAGCUGUCAGACUUAUAGUUGUCAAAGAGCCAGGCUUAGUGAUGGGCAUUAAGGGUGGAGCAGGGAAACCUGUCCUCAUUCUUAAAUAAGACCAACAGUGGAGCGAGGUGAUGCGAAAGUGAUAAUGCGAUUGGAUGUACUUUGGGAGUGUAGGGGAGAGACUUCAUCAACACAUGCUUACGCAAACACAGUUGGCUGUGGAUUUCUCCAGGCUCAGGAAGAAGUGUGCUUGGGCAAAGCUAAUUCUUCCUCUGUGCUCUGGAGCCCACCUCUUCCUUGCCUAGGCAGGUGUCCUCCCACGUCCAUCACUUCUCCACUUGCUCCAUCCAGUGUGCGUAACCUUUUUGGGGUCACAGCCCCUUUGGGACUCUGAUGGAGGUUGUGGAUCCUCUUUUGGAGACAUGCAGAUGGCACAUUCAGUUUUGUGCUCAUUCCAGGGACAUUUAGGCUCCCCAAGGCCAAUCCAUGGAUCCUCUAGGGCAGUGAUGGCGAACCUAUGACACGCAUGUCAGCACUGACACGCGUAGCCAUUUCUGAUGACACGUGGCCGCAUGCCGAGGAUGAAACAUUUGCUGCUCCUGAGGAUGAAACAUUUGCGACUAGAGUCUUGGAGUUAGUUUUUUUCCUCAAAGUGACACACUACCCGAGUUAUGCUCAGUUUUUUGGCGAAGUUUGACACACCAAGCUCAAAAGGUUGCCCCUCACUGCUCUAGGGCCUAAAGUCUCACCUGGGAAUGCACAUUCAUCACCAGUGACACUUUAAAAAAUGAAGGGAGACAAAUUUUGCUUCUGGCUUCCUUCCCUUAGCAAAUCGAGGCAUGGUCCAGCACCCAGACUAGAACUCCAGGAGGCAUUCCUGUGUAUCAUACAAAAUUAUUUAUCAUGCACUCUCUUUGUAGCAAACGUGGUCCUAGACCUUGGGUGCCAGAGCAAACAAGUUCUAUCAAACCCUCUUCUCACAUCUUUUGUGUGAAACUGUCUGGAUCCCUUAACAUGAUUUACUAAGCUCUUCAUAGUCUCUUUCUGACCUCCUCUCUACUUCCUGUGCACCUUUUACUGCAGCCUGGAGGCUUGUGCUAGCUGUGCUGUGUGCCUUUGCUCCCUGUCCUUGGUGCCUGUAGUACCUCAGCACUACUCCCCAGCCCUGCCUACUUAGCAGACUUAGGUUUCUUUUAAGGUUUGGUUCAAGUCCCAUCUCUGGGAAACCUCUCAUUGUCCUAUGGUGAAGGGCAUGUUUAGAAAUAUAUUUAGAAAUAUAGAAGAGCAUGACAUGAUAUGUAUCCAGAGUUUUACUUUAUGCUUUGAAAUAAAAAAAAAUCUG
This is a long non-coding RNA of Eptesicus fuscus (big brown bat), 2438 nucleotides long. RefSeq lists it as uncharacterized. The transcript has 4 exons. Lineage: Eukaryota; Metazoa; Chordata; Mammalia; Chiroptera; Vespertilionidae. The record is from RefSeq and is a predicted model, not a curated record.